UUCCUGGUGUUUCGGUCUAUGCCUCCAGGCCAGGGCUCUGCUGUCCUGGGAACCUGUCCCUGCUUGCCAACACUGCUGGGGAGGCAGCUCUGGGACUCACCCAGGCUCUCCGUGGCUUUGUGUUUCAAAGCAAACAUCUACCUGCCCUGUAGUAUUUUGGUGUUACACACCCAAUCUGCCAGAUGACCUCAUUUACGGAAGGCUUAACGGCUUCACUAGAAAUCCUCUUUCCCAGGAUGAAGGUUGCAGAGAGAGGAAAAAUAAAACGUCCCAAUGCUUUUUUCACGUUUGCGUGCAUCUGUGGAAAACUAUCCUCCAAAACCACAACAUCCUCUCCUCCUGGAGAUACGCCAAGGCCAUUCUGUGUGUUCCUCUCCAGGGCCUACAGUAAAGUGCAUCUCAGAGAUUGCACUCCAAACCUCAUUUUCCCUUGGCAAGAGGAUGUCCCUUCUACAGCAGUUGGCAAGCCAAGAGCCCAGCACCGCUGGAGAACCAGCUCUGUGGGGUCAGAGGAAGAGCAGAACAAACCCUUCUCCUCUGCAGACCUCCCACUGCUGCCUGCAGGUGCAGUCCUGCUGCCAGGCCCAGGCAUGCUGGACCUGCUGCUGACAAGAGAGUGCUCCUCUCCAUGGUCCUUCCUUCCCCUGUGGCCAGCAGAGCAGUGGGUGUUGGGUGCAUGUGCCAGAGCCUGUGCUGCCUGUGGGAUGGUGCUGCAGGAGCAGCUAUGA
This 728-nucleotide long non-coding RNA is filed under the name Manacus vitellinus (golden-collared manakin). Its description in RNAcentral is "lncRNA (ENSMVIG00005014102.1)". Lineage: Eukaryota; Metazoa; Chordata; Aves; Passeriformes; Pipridae. The record is from RNAcentral.